AUUGAACGCUGGCGGCAGGCCUAACACAUGCAAGUCGAACGAGUGGCGGACGGGUGAGUAAUGUCUGGGAAACUGCCUGAUGGAGCGGGCAAACUAGUGGAACCGGUAGAUACUACUGCAUACAGUCGGAUCUGGCAAGCUGGGAUUAGCGAGUCGGUGGGGUAAAGGCUCACCGAGGGGACGAUCCCUAGCUGGUCUGAGAGGGUGACCAGCCACACUGGAACUGAGACACGGUCCAGACUCCUACGGGAGGCAGCAGUAGGGAAUAUUGCACAAUGGUCGCAAGCCUGACCCAGCAAUGCCGCGUGUGUGAAGAAGGCCUUCGGUUUGUAAAGCACUUUUGGCAGGGAGGCGGUAUCUAAAGAAGAAGCACCGGCUAACUCCGUGCCAGCAGCCGCGGUAAUAC
RNAcentral lists this ribosomal RNA (406 nucleotides) under uncultured bacterium. Its description in RNAcentral is "partial 16S ribosomal RNA". It matches the Rfam family "Bacterial small subunit ribosomal RNA", at positions 30 to 526 of the family's 1533-position model. The record is from RNAcentral.